AAAGACAAUAAAAAACAUAAUGUUUCGUUCAAAUGUUGAAUUCGUGUGAAAAGCGAGAUAUCGCCCCUCGCGUGCUGUCCGUCUGUUGGACCUCGUACGUCCGAGGUCCGAGCCGAUGAGAAAGCGAGACAGGGCGUGAAGUGUGUCUAAAGGGGGAUACAAAUGCGAGUAACCAAAAAAACUUAGGGGGCAGGAGUAGCACUGACGUCAGUACCACACAGGACACGGAGAAACAAUACUGUACGAAAUAAUGAACCUUCGCCUGAAGUUUAAUUGAAAUGACGGAUACACGCCA
Cimex lectularius (bed bug) is the source of this 295-nucleotide long non-coding RNA. RefSeq lists it as uncharacterized. NCBI's taxonomy places the organism in Eukaryota, Metazoa, Arthropoda, Insecta, Hemiptera, Cimicidae. The record is from RefSeq and is a predicted model, not a curated record. The transcript has 3 exons.